Molecule: ribosomal RNA, 253 nt
Filed under: uncultured bacterium
Lineage: Bacteria
Description: partial 16S ribosomal RNA
Rfam family: Bacterial small subunit ribosomal RNA
Source: RNAcentral
UACGGAGGGUGCGACCGUUAAUCGGAAUCACUGGGCGUAAAGCGCGCGUAGGCGGUCCGUUAAGUGGGAUGUGAAAUCCCCGGGCUUAACCUGGGAAUUGCAUUUCAAACUGGCGGACUAGAGUGCGGUAGAGGGAGGUAGAAUUUCCUGUGUAGCGGUGAAAUGCGUAGAUAUAGGAAGGAAUACCAGUGGCGAAGGCGGCCUCCUGGAUCGACACUGACGCUGAGGCGCGAAAGCGUGGGGAGCAAACAGG